UACGAAGGGGGCUAGCGUUGUUCGGAAUUACUGGGCGUAAAGCGCGCGCAGGCGGUCUUCCAAGUCAGUGGUGAAAGCCCGGAGCUCAACUCCGGAACUGCCAUUGAAACUGGGGGACUGGAGUAUGAGAGAGGUGAGUGGAAUUCCCAGUGUAGAGGUGAAAUUCGUAGAUAUUGGGAAGAACACCGGUGGCGAAGGCGGCUCACUGGCUCAUUACUGACGCUCAGGCGCGACAGCGUGGGGAU
RNAcentral lists this ribosomal RNA (245 nucleotides) under uncultured bacterium. RNAcentral describes it as "partial 16S ribosomal RNA". It matches the Rfam family "Bacterial small subunit ribosomal RNA", at positions 524 to 768 of the family's 1533-position model. The record is from RNAcentral.